AUGCCCAGUGAUCUGCCCCAGGUCGAACUCCUGGAAGGAGUUGAGAAUGGUGAGUACUUGUAACCUUGCUGGUAUUAGCUUGACCCAGAGUCUAGUGCCAGUGAGGAAAGCAAGCAUCCCGUCUUAACCCCUGUUCUAGCGCCAGAGCCAGUAAUGGUGAACCCACUGGGGCUAACUGGGAGAGAGGAUGAGAACCUGUUCCAUAAGGAACUGUCUGAGGUACAGCAAAUGCCUGUUGGUAGCAUUUGCUUAGCAUUUCUUGGCCUGUCCACUAACCAUAGCUAGAAUAGCUUUGGCUGUUUUAGAUAUUUUGCUAAUUACAUGAUUUUCUCAUUCAGGAGCAGCUUGUUAAUGUAUACUACUGAAAAGCCUCCAGAAUUAAAAGGUUAGUUGAUUAAUGUCUCUAUGGUUUAUGCCACCAAGUAGACAGUUUCUAUGAUGAAGCAAACUAGCUCACUAUGACUUCACAAUGAAAACACGUGAACACCUGAGAAACUGGAGAACACAGUAGGGGAGGUACCAUGUGUAAGGAACUUUUGUCACCCACAGCUUUGUCUUUCCCUAGGUGCUGUUUCCAGUAGCCUGCUUAUUUUCUCAGAGGUCCAGCACCUUGUCUGAAGCCCAAGAAUGAUUUGAGGGUGAGCAUAAGCCAUAUUUCUGCUCAACUGCAGUCUGAAGUUAGAGGACUGAAGAAAGAUCAAAGCACAUAAAAUGGAAUCCAGCUCUUAGAAGACAUCAAAAAGGGCAUUUUCAAGUUAUUUCUUAUACAACC
Non-coding RNA from Ceratotherium simum simum (southern white rhinoceros), 772 nucleotides. Lineage: Eukaryota; Metazoa; Chordata; Mammalia; Perissodactyla; Rhinocerotidae. The record is from RefSeq and is a predicted model, not a curated record.